UUAGUUACGCACUCCGUCUAUAAAAAGGGACCCCCAGAUACGUUCUUCUCUAAGCUCAAAAGCUCUAUCUCAAAACUCUGCUAAAAUUUCCACUCGAGCACUCCAUUUCUGUUAAAGCAGAGUACUGACUUGAGCGUCGGAGGGUCUUGCCGGAGCACCCCCAACUCCGGUUUAGACUUUCUUUGCAGGUCCCGACGGCGGCCGCGG
RNAcentral lists this long non-coding RNA (207 nucleotides) under Elaeis guineensis (African oil palm). RNAcentral's name for it is "long non-coding RNA (EGUI_LNC040686)". The record is from RNAcentral. Lineage: Eukaryota; Viridiplantae; Streptophyta; Magnoliopsida; Arecales; Arecaceae.